GGGUUGCUCGAGGACUGGUCGCUUCAUGUCGCUGUUGAUGACAUGCUGUCGGCCGUUGAACCGCCUGGUUCCGCCCUCCUGGGCGGGUUAC
Molecule: transfer RNA, 91 nt
Filed under: Cupriavidus smyrnaeus
Lineage: Bacteria; Pseudomonadati; Pseudomonadota; Betaproteobacteria; Burkholderiales; Burkholderiaceae
Description: Cupriavidus sp. TA19 tRNA-Asn
Source: RNAcentral